CCUACGGGUGGCAGCAGUGAGGAAUAUUGGUCAAUGGGCGGGAGCCUGAACCAGCCAAGUCGCGUGAGGGAAGACGGUCCUACGGAUUGUAAACCUCUUUUGCCGGGGAGCAACGGGGUCCUUGCGAGGGCCCGAUGAGAGUACCCGGAGAAAAAGCAUCGGCUAACUACGUGCCAGCAGCCGCGGUAAUACGUAGGGGGCAAGCGUUAUCCGGAUUUACUGGGUGUAAAGGGAGCGUAGACGGCAGCGCAAGUCUGGAGUGAAAUCCCAUGGCUUAACCAUGGAACUGCUUUGGAAACUGUGCAGCUGGAGUGCAGGAGAGGUAAGCGGAAUUCCUAGUGUAGCGGUGAAAUGCGUAGAUAUUAGGAGGAACACCAGUGGCGAAGGCGGCUUACUGGACUGUAACUGACGUUGAGGCUCGAAAGCGUGGGGAGCAAACAGGAUUAGAUACUCUGGUAGUC
This 461-nucleotide ribosomal RNA is filed under the name uncultured bacterium. RNAcentral describes it as "partial 16S ribosomal RNA". It matches the Rfam family "Bacterial small subunit ribosomal RNA", at positions 338 to 795 of the family's 1533-position model. The record is from RNAcentral.